This is a long non-coding RNA of Uranotaenia lowii, 431 nucleotides long. RefSeq lists it as uncharacterized. The transcript is spliced from 3 exons. The record is from RefSeq and is a predicted model, not a curated record. NCBI's taxonomy places the organism in Eukaryota, Metazoa, Arthropoda, Insecta, Diptera, Culicidae.
ACUCGAACUGGAUAGAAUCAAGCUGCUGAUCAUUUCAACUGGACCACAUUUCGACGAUUCCGGUUGGUUUUUUUGGAGUUGGACGUUGCAGAUUUCUACAAGGUCGCUUAAAUCGGUACCAUGCGACCCGUAGAAGCUGGUGUGACCAAGCGGCAACUUCUAAAGGUUCUGAUGCAACUUCUUACGAUGCGUUCAACUAGGCAAUCAAUCAAUGGAAACAGUGUUCUGGGUGAACUCAUUCAAGUAAGGCGCCCUCGAUGUAUUGCAGCAACACCUGAGGACCGUCGCACGAUGCUACUUGGAACUUGAGGCCUAGGUGUUGACAGUAAGGUGAUUAGGCCAGGCUACCAGGUACAGUAGCUUCGCCAAGAACUCCGUAGGAUAGUGGAACCCGUGCCUAUGGGGUGCUUAUGAUGAUGGACGAAAUAAAA